UCCAUCGGCUGGGAAAUGAACCCGGUCCGCCCGCGUGGCAGGCGAGCAUUCUACCACUGAACCACCGAUGC
RNAcentral lists this transfer RNA (71 nucleotides) under Cordylochernes scorpioides. RNAcentral describes it as "tRNA-Gly". The record is from RNAcentral. Lineage: Eukaryota; Metazoa; Arthropoda; Arachnida; Pseudoscorpiones; Chernetidae.